RNAcentral lists this ribosomal RNA (501 nucleotides) under Fenerbahce formosus. RNAcentral describes it as "partial large subunit ribosomal RNA". It matches the Rfam family "Bacterial large subunit ribosomal RNA", at positions 1923 to 2579 of the family's 2925-position model. The record is from RNAcentral. Lineage: Eukaryota; Metazoa; Chordata; Actinopteri; Cyprinodontiformes; Nothobranchiidae.
UUUAACGGCCGCGGUAUUUUGACCGUGCAAAGGUAGCGCAAUCACUUGUCUUUUAAAUAAAGACCUGUAUGAAUGGCAUAACGAGGGCUUAACUGUCUCCUUUUUCUUAUCAAUGAAAUUGAUCUCCCCGUGCAGAAGCGGGGAUAAUAACAUAAGACGAGAAGACCCUAUGGAGCUUAAGACGCAAGAACAGUGUAUGUCCCUUUAUUUUUUUCAAAUAAUAAAACUUAUUACAACCUUUUCUAGUGUUUUUGGUUGGGGCGACCGCGGAGUACAGAAACCCUCCAUGAGGAAUGAAGACACUUCCUCUCAUCUAAGGGUGACAACCCUAAGAAAAAGAACUUCUUACCAUACUGAUCCGGCAAAGCCGAUCAACGAACAGAGUUACCCUAGGGAUAACAGCGCAAUCCUCUUUUAGAGCCCAUAUCGACAAGAGGGUUUACGACCUCGAUGUUGGAUCAGGACAUCCUAUUGGUGCAGCCGCUAAUAAGGGUUCGUUUG